AUGAACGCUGGCGGCGUGCCUAAUACCUGCAAGUCGCGCGAACAGAUAAGGAGCUUGCUCCUUUGACGUUAGCGGCGGACGGGUGAGUAACACGUGGGUAACCUACCUAUAAGACUGGGAUAACUUCGGGAAACCGGAGCUAAUACCGGAUAACAUUUGGAACCGCAUGGUUCUAAAGUGAAAGAUGGUUUUGCUAUCACUUAUAGAUGGACCCGCGCCGUAUUAGCUAGUUGGUAAGGUAACGGCUUACCAAGGCGACGAUACGUAGCCGACCUGAGAGGGUGAUCGGCCACACUGGAACUGAGACACGGUCCAGACUCCUACGGGAGGCAGCAGUAGGGAAUCUUCCGCAAUGGGCGAAAGCCUGACGGAGCAACGCCGCGUGAGUGAUGAAGGGUUUCGGCUCGUAAAACUCUGUUAUUAGGGAAGAACAAAUGUGUAAGUAACUGUGCACGUCUUGACGGUACCUAAUCAGAAAGCCACGGCUAACUACGUG
Molecule: ribosomal RNA, 496 nt
Filed under: uncultured bacterium
Lineage: Bacteria
Description: partial 16S ribosomal RNA
Rfam family: Bacterial small subunit ribosomal RNA
Source: RNAcentral